Molecule: non-coding RNA, 468 nt
Organism: Microcebus murinus (gray mouse lemur)
Lineage: Eukaryota; Metazoa; Chordata; Mammalia; Primates; Cheirogaleidae
Source: RefSeq, a predicted model, not a curated record
AGUGCGGGAGCGGCGGCCUGGGGUCUUCCUGCAGGACGCUUUCUCCUGCCUCUUAAAAUUCCCCGGAGGCGGAUUGGCGAGUCCUAAGACCUGUGGAGCCAGGCCGUAACAAACCUUUGUAGUGUUAGAAGAAAGGCAUUCCUUUUGCGGUGACACCGAUUGUUCAGUGGCUGGUUUUCAUAAGGCACCCAGGACCCUAAAUCAUUCUUCCUCGCUGCAGAAAAGGCCAGAAAACUCCUCUAUGCUGAGCUGUUAAUGACCUAAUAUUUUUUUCUCCUCUACGUGCAUGGCCAUAUCUGAAAACCAUGGAGAUGUGCAAGAGGAAAGGCCUGAAACUGCAGUCGACUCACUGAUUCAUUAAAUAAGCAUUUAUUGUGCACCAUAUGGACAAUACACAGCUCUGCUCUGAGCCUGAGGGAUAUAGUAAUGAAUGAGAAAGAAGAGGUCUUGGUGUCAUAGUGUGUUACA